This 355-nucleotide ribosomal RNA is filed under the name uncultured bacterium. RNAcentral describes it as "bacterial SSU rRNA". It matches the Rfam family "Bacterial small subunit ribosomal RNA", at positions 917 to 1293 of the family's 1533-position model. The record is from RNAcentral.
GGGCCCGCACAAGCGGUGGAGCAUGUGGUUUAAUUCGAUGCAACGCGAAGAACCUUACCUACCCUUGACAUCCUCGGAAUCUGCCGGAGACGGCGGAGUGCCUUCGGGAACCGAGUGACAGGUGCUGCAUGGCUGUCGUCAGCUCGUGUUGUGAAAUGUUGGGUUAAGUCCCGUAACGAGCGCAACCCCCUGUCCCUAUUUUGCCAGCGAUUCGGUCGGGAACUCUAGGGAGACUGCCGUGACAAACCGGAGGAAGGUGGGGACGACGUCAAGUCAUCAUGGCCCUUACGGGUUGGGCUACACACGUGCUACAAUGGUGGUGACAAUGGGUUAAUCCCAAAAAGCCAUCUCAGUU